AAAAAAAAAAAAACAACUAAAAAAGAAAAUCCAGACCCCAUGAAGAAAUUCAAAUUACGAUCCACAGAGGAUCAGAUCCUCUCCACCUUAUCAGCUUUAACAACAGGGUUCGCCUUUGCGAUCGCAUUUCGGCCAGCGCCCUUGAAAUCAAAUGAGCAGUCAUGAUUCUCUGGGUACCGAUGAGACCCACAGAAGGUGCUCCCGCACUUGCACUUAAAUCCAGCCAAGCCAACCUUCUUAUUGCAGCUAAAGCACCUAUUCGCCGCUUUGGGCUGAGCCUGAUCACCACCAGCCACCGAAGGCUCAGAUGAUGAAGAAGAUAAUUCAGAGACCGCCACAGGCUCAGAAAGAUUAGGAACCACCACUGGCAUCGCCACAUCAUGGGUAUCAGCGAUAACAUCCUCUUUUUU
Molecule: unclassified non-coding RNA, 410 nt
Filed under: Hevea brasiliensis (rubber tree)
Lineage: Eukaryota; Viridiplantae; Streptophyta; Magnoliopsida; Malpighiales; Euphorbiaceae
Source: RNAcentral